Molecule: non-coding RNA, 118 nt
Organism: Aedes albopictus (Asian tiger mosquito)
Lineage: Eukaryota; Metazoa; Arthropoda; Insecta; Diptera; Culicidae
Source: Rfam
UGCCUGGCAACUCCUAUCCCUACCUCCGCGUGGUAUCGGCAGGAAACUAUGAGCAACCUUAGGGAAGAUCGGGUAACCAACCCCGGUGUGAACUUUGGUCGUAGGCCGACAGGAAAGG